CGCCCAAUUGCUAGCUCAAAAGACAUUUUUAAAAGUUUAAUACUACUAAUAAUAGAUAACCUAAAACCCCCACAACAAACCAUUUUUCCCCCCAAGUAAAGGCGAUAGAAAAGGGACCAGGAGCUAUAGACAAAGUACCGCAAGGGAACGCUGAAAAAGAAGUGAAACAAAUCAAAUAAGCCUAAUAUAGCAGAGACCCCAACUCGUACCUUUUGCAUCAUGAUUUAGCAAGUAAAACCCAAGCAAAGAGACCUAUAGUUUGGAACCCCGAAACUAAGCGAGCUACUCCAAGACAGCCCAAUUGGGGCCAACCCGUCCCUGUGGCAAAAGGGUGGGAAGAGCUUUGAGUAGAGGUGAUAAACCUACCGAGCAUAGUUAUAGCUGGUUGCCUGAGAAAUGAAUAGAAGUUCAGCCCCCCGGCUUACUGCCCCACCUUAGUACUACUAAAAUUGGGUACAGGAAACCAGAGGAGUUAGUUAAAGGAGGUACAGCUCCUUUUUAAUAGAAACACCUUUUACAGAUGGCCAAAGAUCAAAAUAGAUUAAGGAACCUUAUUUUAGUGGGCCUAAAAGCAGCCACCUAAAUAGAAAGCGUUAAAGCUAAAAUAAAUCUAACUACUCCUUUUAUAAUGUUAAUGAAUCUCCCACCUCUGAUAUUUAUCAGACCAUCUCAUGCCCCCAUGAGAGUGAUAAUGCUAAAAUGAGUAAUAAGAAGUUAUAACUUCUCCCAAACACAUGUGUACGCCGGAACGGAUAAGCCACCGACCACUAACCGACCCCAAAAAAAGAGGGAAGUGAAAAUUAAUAGACCAAACUAGAAAACCUUUCACCUAUAAUCGUUAACCCAACACAGGAGUGUAUUUAAGGAAAGACAAAAAGAAAAAGAAGGAACUCGGCAAACCAAAGCCUCGCCUGUUUACCAAAAACAUCGCCUCUUGAAUAAUAAAUAUAAGAGGUCCCGCCUGCCCUGUGACUUUAAGUUUAACGGCCGCGGUAUUUUGACCGUGCGAAGGUAGCGCAAUCACUUGUCUUUUAAAUGAAGACCCGUAUGAAUGGCACCACGAGGGCUUAGCUGUCUCCUUUUUCAAGUCAAUGAAAUUGAUCUCCCCGUGCAGAAGCGGGGAUAAUAACAUAAGACGAGAAGACCCUAUGGAGCUUCAGACCUAGUGCAGACCACGAAAAAUACUUUAAGACAAAAAAGAAAAGCCCAAUGGCCCCUGCACAACUGUCUUUGGUUGGGGCGACCGCGGGGAAAAACAAAACCCCCACGAGGACUGAGAGUUUUACUCCUAAAACCAAGAGCCACAGCUCUAAGUAUCAGAAAUUCUGACCUAAAUGAUCCGGGCAACCGAUCAACGAACCGAGUUACCCUAGGGAUAACAGCGCAAUCCCCUUCCAGAGCCCAUAUCGACAAGGGGGUUUACGACCUCGAUGUUGGAUCAGGACAUCCUAAUGGUGCAGCCGCUAUUAAGGGUUCGUUUGUUCAACGAUUAAAGUCCUACGUGAUCUGAGUUCAGACCGGAGUAAUCCAGGUCAGUUUCUAUCUAUGAAAUAUUCUUUUCCAGUACGAAAGGACCGAGAAGAAAAGGCCCAUGCUCCAAGUAUGCCUUACCCCCAACUACUGAAACCAAAUAAAGAAGGUAAAGGGGGCUACUACUCUACUUAAGAAAAUAGUAU
Molecule: ribosomal RNA, 1676 nt
Filed under: Allocyttus niger (black oreo)
Lineage: Eukaryota; Metazoa; Chordata; Actinopteri; Zeiformes; Oreosomatidae
Description: 16S rRNA
Rfam family: Bacterial large subunit ribosomal RNA
Source: RNAcentral